RNAcentral lists this transfer RNA (65 nucleotides) under Scaphoideus varius. RNAcentral describes it as "tRNA-Arg". The record is from RNAcentral. Lineage: Eukaryota; Metazoa; Arthropoda; Insecta; Hemiptera; Cicadellidae.
AACAUAGAAGUAAAUAAUUACUACUAGUUUCGACCUAGUACCUUAAGGAAGUUCCCUUCAUGUUU